AAUGAACGCUGGCGGCAGGCCUAACACAUGCAAGUCGAACGGAUCCUUCGGGAUUAGUGGCGGACGGGUGAGUAACGCGUGGGAACAUACCCAAAGGUACGUAAUAGCCUCGGGAAACUGGGAGUAAUACCGUAUGUGCUAGAAAGAGGAAAGAUUUAUCGCCUUUGGAUUGGCCCGCGUUGGAUUAGGUAGUUGGUGGGGUAAUGGCCUACCAAGCCGACGAUCCAUAGCUGGUUUGAGAGGACGAUCAGCCACACUGUGACUGAGACACGGCCCAGACUCCUACGGGAGGCAGCAGUGGGGAAUCUUAGACAAUGUGGGAGACCUUGAUCUAGCCAUGCCGCGUGAUCGAUGAAGGCCUUAGGGUUGUAAAGAUCUUUCAGGUGGGAAGAUAAUGACUGUGCCACCAGAAGAAGCCCCGGCUAACUCCGGGCCAGCCGCCGCCGUAA
RNAcentral lists this ribosomal RNA (449 nucleotides) under uncultured bacterium. Its description in RNAcentral is "partial 16S ribosomal RNA". It matches the Rfam family "Bacterial small subunit ribosomal RNA", at positions 29 to 523 of the family's 1533-position model. The record is from RNAcentral.